GAGGCUGUAGCUUAACGGGCAAGAGUGCGCGGCCCGCCACCGGCGGAGAACUGCGAGAUGUGGGUUCAACUCCCAUCGGCUUCA
This 84-nucleotide transfer RNA is filed under the name uncultured bacterium. Its description in RNAcentral is "tRNA-Trp". It matches the Rfam family "tRNA". Rfam says of the family: Transfer RNA (tRNA) molecules are approximately 80 nucleotides in length. Their secondary structure includes four short double-helical elements and three loops (D, anti-codon, and T loops). The record is from RNAcentral.